Molecule: long non-coding RNA, 1020 nt
Organism: Gasterosteus aculeatus aculeatus (three-spined stickleback)
Lineage: Eukaryota; Metazoa; Chordata; Actinopteri; Perciformes; Gasterosteidae
Source: Ensembl
CUGAGACGGAAGCAGGGUGGAAACGAUAGGAGUGUGUGUGUGUGUGUGUGUGUGUGUGUGUGCGUGUCCUGACCUUUGCUCCACUGAGGCCGACCUGUUGUGGAAAGAAGGCACCAUGUUUUUCUUCUCCCUGUACAUCAUCGCCCAGCUAAUUGUUGCCGACGAUUUCUUCUCAUCCGACCCGAGUCGCUCCCUGUAUUUCUGGGCCUAACGGACGGGGAAAGGACACCGCGCGGAUAGCACGACCACUUUCGGGAGUCAUGAGGGGCCUCCCACAGGAAUCCGUCUUGAUGUAAAGACCGACGAAACGUCCGUCCAGCUCCAGUCCUUCGCUUUCCCACACUUCCAGCCCGGAGCGGCCGCUGGCAAAGCCAACACCUCUACGCGUCCCACCCUUGCUGCCAAAAAGAUGCCAACCUCUGCCGGGUGUGUGGUUGUUUUAGAAAGGGAAGCCCACCCGCUGCCCUCGGGGGGGGCGACACUGUCGUGUCAACACGGUCUCACGGAUCAGUGCCAGCUGAUCCCUGGUGCAGAACAGUGCGGUGAGGUGGUGGCAGCCAACGCUUUCCUCCGCCGACUGCACUGAAGAAACAACACCGGCGGCUGGGCCCACGCCAGCUUCCUGCCACCCGGUCAACCGUCUGGGAACAGCAGCCCCACACAGCUGGGGAGGGACACUCGGUCCUCCCUUUGAGCCCUUCACAGCAAAAAAACAAAAGGUUGCAGCACAAAUCAGCAGCACACGGCGUCCGACAGCCUGGACACGACUUGUGCUCGGUGUCUUCUGUUUCUCUGGGAAGGAGCUUUCUAAAGAGGUGAUGUCGCAGUGAUGUAAGCAGGGUUUACAUUUAAUGUGAGAACACGAAAAUACAUGAAAGUACGUGAAACAGAGCAGUACUCGUGUGAUUGGGGCCCCACAGUCAGUCUGCCCCUGCUGCCCCAGAAGCAUAUCAGCACACGGUUAGUCCCCUUCGACCCCCACGGGUCAGCAGACGGAGGGGGGGGGGGGGGGCCUCAGAC